GGAUGAACGCUAGCUACAGGCUUAACACAUGCAAGUCGAGGGGCAUCAGGAAGAAAGCUUGCUUUCUUUGCUGGCGACCGGCGCACGGGUGAGUAACACGUAUCCAACCUGCCCUUUACUCGGGGAUAGCCUUUCGAAAGAAAGAUUAAUACCCGAUGGCAUAAUGAUUCCGCAUGGUUUCAUUAUUAAAGGAUUCCGGUAAAGGAUGGGGAUGCGUUCCAUUAGGUUGUUGGUGAGGUAACGGCUCACCAAGCCUUCGAUGGAUAGGGGUUCUGAGAGGAAGGUCCCCCACAUUGGAACUGAGACACGGUCCAAACUCCUACGGGAGGCAGCAGUGAGGAAUAUUGGUCAAUGGGCGCUAGCCUGAACCAGCCAAGUAGCGUGAAGGAUGAAGGCUCUAUGGGUCGUAAACUUCUUUUAUAUAAGAAUAAAGUGCAGUAUGUAUACUGUUUUGUAUGUAUUAUAUGAAUAAGGAUCGGCUAACUCCGUGCCAGCAGCCGCGGUAAUACGGAGGAUCCGAGCGUUAUCCGGAUUUAUUGGGUUUAAAGGGAGCGUAGGUGGACUGGUAAGUCAGUUGUGAAAGUUUGCGGCUCAACCGUAAAAUUGCAGUUGAUACUGUCAGUCUUGAGUACAGUAGAGGUGGGCGGAAUUCGUGGUGUAGCGGUGAAAUGCUUAGAUAUCACGAAGAACUCCGAUUGCGAAGGCAGCUCACUGGACUGCAACUGACACUGAUGCUCGAAAGUGUGGGUAUCAAACAGGAUUAGAUACCCUGGUAGUCCACACAGUAAACGAUGAAUACUCGCUGUUUGCGAUAUACAGUAAGCGGCCAAGCGAAAGCAUUAAGUAUUCCACCUGGGGAGUACGCCGGCAACGGUGAAACUCAAAGGAAUUGACGGGGGCCCGCACAAGCGGAGGAACAUGUGGUUUAAUUCGAUGAUACGCGAGGAACCUUACCCGGGCUUAAAUUGCAGUGGAAUGAUGUGGAAACAUGUCAGUGAGCAAUCACCGCUGUGAAGGUGCUGCAUGGUUGUCGUCAGCUCGUGCCGUGAGGUGUCGGCUUAAGUGCCAUAACGAGCGCAACCCUUAUCUUUAGUUACUAACAGGUUAUGCUGAGGACUCUAGAGAGACUGCCGUCGUAAGAUGUGAGGAAGGUGGGGAUGACGUCAAAUCAGCACGGCCCUUACGUCCGGGGCUACACACGUGUUACAAUGGGGGGUACAGAAGGCAGCUAGCGGGUGACCGUAUGCUAAUCCCAAAAGCCUCUCUCAGUUCGGAUCGAAGUCUGCAACCCGACUUCGUGAAGCUGGAUUCGCUAGUAAUCGCGCAUCAGCCACGGCGCGGUGAAUACGUUCCCGGGCCUUGUACACACCGCCCGUCAAGCCAUGGGAGCCGGGGGUACUUAAAGUACGUAACCGCAAGGA
This 1421-nucleotide ribosomal RNA is filed under the name uncultured organism. Its description in RNAcentral is "16S ribosomal RNA". It matches the Rfam family "Bacterial small subunit ribosomal RNA". The record is from RNAcentral.